RNAcentral lists this ribosomal RNA (493 nucleotides) under uncultured bacterium. Its description in RNAcentral is "bacterial SSU rRNA". It matches the Rfam family "Bacterial small subunit ribosomal RNA", at positions 29 to 517 of the family's 1533-position model. The record is from RNAcentral.
AACGAACGCUGGCGGCGCGCCUAAUACAUGCAAGUCGAGCGAGAAGGUGUAGCAAUACACUUGUAAAGCGGCGAACGGGUGAGGAAUACAUGGGUAAUCUACCAUCGAGUGGGGAAUAACCAACCGAAAGGUUGGCUAAUACCGCGUACGCCUCCGAGUCUUCGGGUUCGGAGGGAAAGCUGCACUGUGAGUGUAGCGCUCUUUGAUGAGCUCAUGUCCUAUCAGCUUGUUGGUAGGGUAACGGCCUACCAAGGCUUUGACGGGUAGCUGGUCUGAGAGGACGAUCAGCCACACUGGCACUGCGACACGGGCCAGACUCCUACGGGAGGCAGCAGUAAGGAAUAUUGCGCAAUGGGCGAAAGCCUGACGCAGCGACGCCGCGUGGGGAUGAAGGUCUUCGGAUUGUAAACCCCUUUCGGAGGGAAGAUGGAACGAGCAAUCGUUCGGACGGUACCUCCAGAAGCAGCCACGGCCAACUUCGUGCCAGCAGCCG